Molecule: long non-coding RNA, 651 nt
Organism: Osmerus eperlanus (European smelt)
Lineage: Eukaryota; Metazoa; Chordata; Actinopteri; Osmeriformes; Osmeridae
Exons: 3
Source: RefSeq, a predicted model, not a curated record
UUCUUCAGUGAAUGAUCUCAGGCGCUUUCUCCAACGGGUCCUAAACCCCACAAUCUGGUACCGUGCUGCUGGACCUAGGAAACCUUAAGGGACAAGAAAAUAAUCAAAACAAUGAAUGUUUAGGGGGUAGUUUUUCUGCUAGCGCUCCGCCUUUAAAGAAACACACUAAACACAUCUCCAGUACAGAAAUUGCAAGUGGAUAAAAUCUGGAUAAAGUCUGAUUUGGAAGUCUGUAGUUUACUACCGGGAGCUCAAAGUGAACUUGAUAUGGUUUUCUCCUCCGAGUGCUAGCUCAAUUUUCACAUCCGGGGCCUCAGAGGAGUCACUGUAUGGUCGUCAUAGCAGCAGGCCUACAGGGUCGUCAUAGCAGCCGGCCUACAGGGUCGUCAUAGCAGCAGACCUACAGGGUGGUGGACAUCUACAGACACCUGCCAUGGUGCCACCAUGAUCCUCUGACCCAGCCCUCUUCUCCAUCGCCUCGCUGCCUCCCUAACGCUACCCGAGCACCAGGGCAACAGAUGGCGUUCUCCAGCACCCCCGCUGAGGAGCACUGAGGUCUUCUCAUCCCACCUCUUCAUCCUCCUCUUCCUCCUCACCAGUCCAGACAAGCAGCAGAACAAUGAGCUCACGUAGUCGCCCAGGUGGGCUGGG